CAAUAGCGUAUAUUUAAGUAGUUGCAGUUAAAAAGCUCGUAGUCGGAUUUUGGCUGAGAACGAUCGGUCCGCCGUUAGGUGUGCACUGAUUGGUCUCAGCUUCCUGGUGAGGAGGUGUGCUUCACGGCCACUUAGUCACCGUGGUUACUUUGAAAAAAUUAGAGUGUUCAAAGCGGGCUUACGCUUGAAUAUAUUAGCAUGGAAUAACACCAUAGGACUCCUGUCCUAUUUCGUUGGUCUCGGGACGGGAGUAAUGAUUAAGAGGAACAGUUGGGGGCAUUCGUAUUUCAUUGUCAGAGGUGAAAUUCUUGGAUUUAUGAAAGACGAACUUCUGCGAAAGCAUUUGCCAAGGAUGUUUUCAUUGA
RNAcentral lists this ribosomal RNA (365 nucleotides) under uncultured eukaryote. RNAcentral's name for it is "partial 18S ribosomal RNA". It matches the Rfam family "Eukaryotic small subunit ribosomal RNA", at positions 592 to 976 of the family's 1831-position model. The record is from RNAcentral.